This is a long non-coding RNA of Oxyura jamaicensis (ruddy duck), 2227 nucleotides long. RefSeq lists it as uncharacterized. The record is from RefSeq and is a predicted model, not a curated record. NCBI's taxonomy places the organism in Eukaryota, Metazoa, Chordata, Aves, Anseriformes, Anatidae. The transcript is spliced from 14 exons.
AUCUAAAGAGUUUCUCAUUGUGCAUCUCCCUGCAUUCUGAAUUAACUCCAGUUUCGCUUAACGGACAAACAAGCGUCUGCCUCGAGUCCGCUGCGGAGCUGGUGUGCUGGCUGCUCGACACCUCUUGCAUGAAUCACUGACUCUACCCUUUUUUUCCAUUUGCCAUUUCUGGUCAUUUUUCCCUGUUCUGCUGAAUCCCAAGUGCCCCUGAAUGCAGCCCUUUGGUUUUGGGAUGUGGAGAGCCGUAUGUGCAGCCCCACUUCUCUAAGACGGCACUCGACUGGGCAGUGAAGCACAGCAAUCUUGAGAUGGCAGAGAUGGUCGCCAAAGCAGGCGUCGAUGUCAAUGCUAAAUCGUUUGGCUGAUGAGUAUUUUCAUCUGAAGUUGUCUUGUGGACUUUAGAAGACCAGACUUUCAGACAACCGAGAUGUACAACAGGUACAUCUGUUUGCAGUUACCCAGCUCAAAACCAAAAGCUUCUCAAAGCCCAGCAUGGAGCAGAGGAGCCGAGCCCCUCGCCUCUCACCCAGCACAGCCCUUCAGCACGUGCCGCUCCUUGAGCCUACGUGCGGUCCUGUUGACACCGCAGCGACUCAGCACCUCGCACACCUGAACUUUCAGUCUCACCGUGCAACUGGAAGCAGGCCUCUGCUCACACUCCUUUUACAACCUCCUCUGUCACGUUUGGGUGGUGCAUCACUGCGUGGGACACGGCGCUGGCAGGGAGCUCCGUGCUUUUCCUUUCCCCACGGAAGCAUAGGAGCUCCUGUGUGGUGCUGGGAAGAAAUGAUGUAUGGAGCAGCCAUCUCAUUUCCAGCCUGCGAUCUCUGGGCUUGACUUAGAAGUAAUGUCACUUCUGCCUCCAUGGCGCUGGAGAUGCCGGAGUUAUGGUCUUCCCACUCACGAGUGAACCUGGCUUCCUAUGCUCCCACUCUGCCUCAGGUUUUAAUGAGUCUUCGGCCUCCCCAUCCUGCUCCAACUCAAAUCCGGACCAUGAGAAGACUGCUGUAGGGGAAACGCUGGAUUUUUCCCUGUUGACAUUCUUUGGGCCAAGGUCUUACCUGGUGCAUGAAGAGGGAGGCAGCAACAGCCUUACCUUCUCUCUACCGUGCCAGCAAACUACUUAAAGAGAUAUUUCUUGAUUACUUGGUAUCAAACACAGAAAUUGGAGCUGAGAAUUUUUCCAUGGAAAACAUCCUGUAGCUUGUCUGGCUGGCUCCUGCUGCAGUGCCAACCCACUGGCUCAGUAUGAACUUAAAGGAUCCUUGCAAAAACACUCUGUGCUAAGCAGCAUAGCACAGGUCACUUCCAAGAGCUGCUUCCUCUCAAACAGCACCAGGAGCUUAUCCUUACGUACCCUAGUGGUCUCAUGCUUUCAGCAAGCUGUGGCUUACACCCUGCAUACCUCCUCAUCGCUGUUAUCACCAAUGGUUUCCUCAAUGGAUAUAAUCAUGCACAUUACAGCAGUUGCCAAAACCCUCUGGCACCAGAAGCACUCUUGGAAUGAGAGCCUGAAGGCAUGCGAGGGCCUGAGCAGCUGUAGCUGUGGUGGGGAACUUAACUCAUUUCCAUGAUGGUUUCAUCCUGGCUCAUUCCAGCCCCACCAGUGCCCAUCUGCCAGGACUGUUGAUGCCUCCCUUCUGUAACUCCGUCGAGCAAGACAGUUCUGUGUCCUUCGUGUUUUCUGUGAAACCAUUUCCAGCAGCAAACAACAGUGUGUGCUGAUUAAAAUUUAAGAGUUAUCUCAACGAGUUGAAGAUUCCUUCACCAGCUCACCUUGGCUCAGGUGUCCCCCUGGCUGCCAACAGCCUUUAACAUGCAUCAAGGGACAGAACGUGGCCAGCAAAUGAAGCCAUUCCCAGGGGGGCCACCAGAGGCUAUCUAUCCUGUCCUCUCCUCCUCCAAGGAUGACCAGAUGGCAGGCACCUCUCAUCCUUAAAUGCAGAGAGAAGAAGAAUGCAGAAGAGGGAAAAGAGACCUUAACUGGGUGCUGCAUUCCCACCGCGUCCUGGAUCAACCCAUCCUCAUAACCAACACAGGUCUGUAAGCCAAAUUCACCAGUUGUUUAACUGAGCAGCAGGUUUCUUAACCUCCGCGUUCAACAGCGAUUUGAACGUGUGCAAUCCCUUAUCAAACGAGCAGACCACAAGAGGAAUGCAUCCGUUUCGUGAUGAUUUCCUUUGCAUGGUCUGAGUCUUCGGCAGGCUGCGUAACGAAGACGUGUGUG